This is a long non-coding RNA of Homo sapiens (human), 947 nucleotides long. RefSeq annotates it as long independently transcribed non-coding RNA 2469. The transcript has 3 exons. The record is from RefSeq and is a predicted model, not a curated record. NCBI's taxonomy places the organism in Eukaryota, Metazoa, Chordata, Mammalia, Primates, Hominidae.
GACAUCACGUAUUUGUUCCUUUGCUCCACUCUUACCAACCUUUGCUCUGAUUUGUGCCAUGAGGACUAGAAACCUGGAAACCUACGUUUCCCAGCUACUCCAUCUCCCCACACCGCAGGCUUUCUGUUAUGUUCUGAUGAUGAACUACUGCAGGAACAUAUCAGGAAAGCCAAGAGAAUCCACAGACCCUUUGAAGGAACUGUACCACCCCUGCAGACUCCCUGAGAUGCCAAAAACUGUGAAUCUGCUUGCUUUCUCAACUGGGAGGCUCAUGGUCUGGGAAGAAAAUCUUAGAAGCCCAUAUGGAUGUCAAAUUAGCAAGUGAAGACUUGGAAACACCACGUCUGAGCCCACUGAAUCAGAUAAGUAGAGAUGCAACUUUGAAGUACUGGGAUCUCAACUUAUCUCAUGUGUAGAAACACAAGAGUUCUAUGUAUAUCAUGAAUUAACACACACAAUCACAAGCUGAGAAAGGAAGAAAUAGCAUUGGAGCAUUGGUACACUAUCAAAAUCAAAACAAAAUAAAAAGGAAUAAAGUAAAAUGAGCACAUAUUGAAGUACAUAGUAUAUCUACAAAAUAUCUUGACAAAGCAUAAUCUGACCUUAAUACAUCUUUUUUAAUGGGUAGAUGAUUUUGCAUUAGAAUCUUACAUAAGAUGGAGGAAUUGCUUCAACAGGGCAGCACUUCUCUGAAGAGCCAUUGUGUUUGGCCCAUCUGCUAAAGAACUGUGGGGAAUAACGUCUGCCCUACUGGCCUCAGCAAUCCACUGCAUUAAUAGAACAUAAGCGCUUAUGCAAUGGCACUGGAUCUGUGGCAGCUGUUUGUUCAAUGUUUCAUGCUUUUAGUCACAUCUGCUCCAAAUGAGUGUUAAUAUUACAGUGGCAUCCACUAAGGAUGGGCUCUGUCAGCUUUGCUGAGGAUCAGUCUGACCCCUGAAACAAUGGAA